GUGGGGAAUUUUGGACAAUGGGCGCAAGCCUGAUCCAGCAAUGCCGCGUGCAGGAAGAAGGCCUUCGGGUUGUAAACUGCUUUUGUACGGAACGAAACGGUCCUGGUUAAUACCUGGGGCUAAUGACGGUACCGUAAGAAUAAGCACCGGCUAACUACGUGCCAGCAGCCGCGGUAAUACGUCGGGUGCGCGCGUUAAUCGGAAUUACUGGGCGUAAAGCGUGCGCAGGCGGUGCUGUAAGACAGGCGUGAAAUCCCCGGGCUCAACCUGGGAAUUGCGCUUGUGACUGCAGUGCUGGAGUACGGCAGAGGGGGAUGGAAUUCCGCGUGGAGCAGUGAAAUGCGUAGAUAUGCGGAGGAACACCGAUGGCGAAGGCAGUCCCCUGGGCCUGUACUGACGCUCAUGCACGAAAGCGUGGGGAGCAAACAGGAUUAGAUACCCGGGUAGUCC
RNAcentral lists this ribosomal RNA (450 nucleotides) under uncultured bacterium. RNAcentral's name for it is "partial 16S ribosomal RNA". It matches the Rfam family "Bacterial small subunit ribosomal RNA", at positions 354 to 796 of the family's 1533-position model. The record is from RNAcentral.